GCAGACAGAGCGGCGGAUUCGGAGCCCAGCGACCCCGUGCUGCUGGUGCGCGCUGCGGGCGGCCGGGGUUGUCUGAAAUGGAACAGAAAUGAGAAUGAAGGCACCUGAGCUUCAGAAGUGCUCUUCCAGUGCCCACAGUUCAGCAGCUUACACAGUCGGACGCAUGCUCUCGUGCCUCUGCUGAAAUGAAGGCGACGGAGUAACGGCCUCGAGAGCUGACUGGUUUACACGUGCAGCAAUUUCCUGCAACAAGUAAAUGAAAACAUUUUCCUCAACAUGCAGUGCCAGCUCUUAGCUUUAGAUGCAACUGACAGAAGUUCUAAAUUGUCCCCUUUCAGUAACGUAUUUGUAGCAUCUUCAAACUUGUCACAUUUUGUGCUGUUCACUUUCUACACCUGAGUGAAUGCACUUGCUUCAUAAUGCUGCAAUCUGUCUGAUAAAAUAAGCAAACAGCUACAGUAAGAAAAAUAAAGAUAUCACUUAAAAAAAAAAACGUACCUCUCGACUACUAACAAAACAUAAAGACUCAAAA
This is a long non-coding RNA of Tympanuchus pallidicinctus (lesser prairie-chicken), 532 nucleotides long. RefSeq lists it as uncharacterized. NCBI's taxonomy places the organism in Eukaryota, Metazoa, Chordata, Aves, Galliformes, Phasianidae. The record is from RefSeq and is a predicted model, not a curated record. The transcript has 2 exons.